GCUUGUCUCAAAGAUUAAGCCAUGCAUGUCUAAGUAUAAAUAAAUCAUACUGUGAAACUGCGAAUGGCUCAUUAUAUCAGUUAUAGUUUAUUUGAUAGUCCCUUACUACUUGGAUAACCGUAGUAACUCUAGAGCUAAUACAUGCGCAAAUUCCCGACUGCCGCAAGGCGGAAAGGAUGUAUUUAUUAGAUCAAAACCAAACGGCUUCGGCCGUCUCAUUGGUGACUCUGAAUAACUUUGGGCUGAUCGUAUGGCCUUGUGCCGACGACGUUUCCUUCGAAGGUGUGCCCUAUCAACUGUCGACUGUGAUAUAGACGCUCACAGUGGUUUUGACGGGUAACGGGGAAUCAGGGUUCGAUUCCGGAGAGGGAGCCUUAAAAACGGCUACCACAUCCAAGGAAGGCAGCAGG
RNAcentral lists this ribosomal RNA (410 nucleotides) under uncultured fungus. Its description in RNAcentral is "partial small subunit ribosomal RNA". It matches the Rfam family "Eukaryotic small subunit ribosomal RNA", at positions 30 to 432 of the family's 1831-position model. Lineage: Eukaryota; Fungi. The record is from RNAcentral.